GUGGCUCAGUGGUAGAGCACAUGUCUUACAUGCAUGAGGACCUGAAUUCAAUCCCAGC
RNAcentral lists this transfer RNA (58 nucleotides) under Erinaceus europaeus (western European hedgehog). It matches the Rfam family "tRNA", at positions 7 to 64 of the family's 71-position model. Rfam says of the family: Transfer RNA (tRNA) molecules are approximately 80 nucleotides in length. Their secondary structure includes four short double-helical elements and three loops (D, anti-codon, and T loops). The record is from Rfam by way of RNAcentral. Lineage: Eukaryota; Metazoa; Chordata; Mammalia; Eulipotyphla; Erinaceidae.